UGGCGGACGGGUGAGUAACGCGUGGGUAACCUGCCUUACACAGGGGGAUAACACCUGGAAACAGGUGCUAAUACCGCAUAAGCGCACAGGGCCGCAUGGCCCGGUGUGAAAAACUCCGGUGGUGUAAGAUGGACCUGCGUCUGAUUAGCUUGUUGGCGGGGUAGGGGCCCACCAAGGCGACGAUCAGUAGCCGGCCUGAGAGGGUGGACGGCCACAUUGGGACUGAGACACGGCCCAAACUCCUACGGGAGGCAGCAG
RNAcentral lists this ribosomal RNA (258 nucleotides) under uncultured bacterium. Its description in RNAcentral is "partial 16S ribosomal RNA". It matches the Rfam family "Bacterial small subunit ribosomal RNA", at positions 96 to 354 of the family's 1533-position model. The record is from RNAcentral.